RNAcentral lists this ribosomal RNA (1466 nucleotides) under metagenome. RNAcentral's name for it is "bacterial SSU rRNA". It matches the Rfam family "Bacterial small subunit ribosomal RNA". The record is from RNAcentral.
AAUACAUGCAAGUCGAGCGGACAGAUGGGAGCUUGCUCCCUGAUGUUAGCGGCGGACGGGUGAGUAACACGUGGGUAACCUGCCUGUAAGACUGGGAUAACUCCGGGAAACCGGGGCUAAUACCGGAUGGUUGUUUGAACCGCAUGGUUCAAACAUAAAAGGUGGCUUCGGCUACCACUUGCAGAUGGACCCGCGGCGCAUUAGCUAGUUGGUGAGGUAAUGGCUCACCAAGGCAACGAUGCGUAGCCGACCUGAGAGGGUGAUCGGCCACACUGGGACUGAGACACGGCCCAGACUCCCACGGGAGGCAGCAGUAGGGAAUCUUCCGCAAUGGACGAAAGUCUGACGGAGCAACGCCGCGUGAGUGAUGAAGGUUUUCGGAUCGUAAAGCUCUGUUGUUAGGGAAGAACAAGUGCCGUUCGAAUAGGGCGGUACCUUGACGGUACCUAACCAGAAAGCCACGGCUAACUACGUGCCAGCAGCCGCGGUAAUACGUAGGUGGCAAGCGUUGUCCGGAAUUAUUGGGCGUAAAGGGCUCGCAGGCGGUUUCUUAAGUCUGAUGUGAAAGCCCCCGGCUCAACCGGGGAGGGUCAUUGGAAACUGGGGAACUUGAGUGCAGAAGAGGAGAGUGGAAUUCCACGUGUAGCGGUGAAAUGCGUAGAGAUGUGGAGGAACACCAGUGGCGAAGGCGACUCUCUGGUCUGUAACUGACGCUGAGGAGCGAAAGCGUGGGGAGCGAACAGGAUUAGAUACCCUGGUAGUCCACGCCGUAAACGAUGAGUGCUAAGUGUUAGGGGGUUUCCGCCCCUUAGUGCUGCAGCUAACGCAUUAAGCACUCCGCCUGGGGAGUACGGUCGCAAGACUGAAACUCAAAGGAAUUGACGGGGGCCCGCACAAGCGGUGGAGCAUGUGGUUUAAUUCGAAGCAACGCGAAGAACCUCACCAGGUCUUGACAUCCUCUGACAAUCCUAGAGAUAGGACGUCCCCUUCGGGGGCAGAGUGACAGGUGGUGCAUGGUUGUCGUCAGCUCGUGUCGUGAGAUGUUGGGUUAAGUCCCGCAACGAGCGCAACCCUUGAUCUUAGUUGCCAGCAUUCAGUUGGGCACUCUAAGGUGACUGCCGGUGACAAACCGGAGGAAGGUGGGGAUGACGUCAAAUCAUCAUGCCCCUUAUGACCUGGGCUACACACGUGCUACAAUGGACAGAACAAAGGGCAGCGAAACCGCGAGGUUAAGCCAAUCCCACAAAUCUGUUCUCAGUUCGGAUCGCAGUCUGCAACUCGACUGCGUGAAGCUGGAAUCGCUAGUAAUCGCGGAUCAGCAUGCCGCGGUGAAUACGUUCCCGGGCCUUGUACACACCGCCCGUCACACCACGAGAGUUUGUAACACCCGAAGUCGGUGAGGUAACCUUUUAGGAGCCAGCCGCCGAAGGUGGGACAGAUGAUUGGGGUAAAGUCGAGCAAGGUAG